This 301-nucleotide long non-coding RNA is filed under the name Elaeis guineensis (African oil palm). RNAcentral's name for it is "long non-coding RNA (EGUI_LNC026920)". Lineage: Eukaryota; Viridiplantae; Streptophyta; Magnoliopsida; Arecales; Arecaceae. The record is from RNAcentral.
ACCCCUUCUUUUAGUUUUUGUAGCCAAUGUUUGUGAGGAAAAAAAAAAAACGAAAAGGCAAUGCAUGAAUCAGGUUCAGUUUGUAUAGUUCUCGUACUGUUUUACACACUAUGGACUCCUCGGUGGUCGGUAUUAAGACAACCAAGUAUUUAUUUAGCAUAUAAACCCAAAAAAAAUCCCAAGUAUUUAGCAUGAAUUAGGCCAAGCCAAAGAGUGAUGACUGUGAGUCAACAGGCUCAUACAGCAUGAAGAAAAAAAAAAUCUUUCCUGAAGAAGAAGAAGCUCCAAGUAUCUAAUUCCC